AGUUAUUAAUUGGUUAUUGACAACCUUGAGAAUUAGACUUAUGGUUAGGCAAUUUAGUUGGUAAUAGUAGGUUGUAGGUGGAACAAAUGGUUAAGAAUUCAAAGGGUCAUAAUCUUUGGAAUCUGCUAGCCGACAGUCCAUCUUUUGAUAGGAUAAAGAGGUUGAGAAAAGAGAGAUUGGGACCAGACUAUGAGAGUCGUAAGCCGAGAUAAGCUUGGUGCUACCUCUUUGUUUUCUUUACUUUUAUUAUUUGUUUAUGAAGAAUUAUGAUUGAGAGAAGUAUUGUUGAAAU
Molecule: long non-coding RNA, 292 nt
Filed under: Physcomitrium patens
Lineage: Eukaryota; Viridiplantae; Streptophyta; Bryopsida; Funariales; Funariaceae
Description: long non-coding RNA (PPAT_LNC000069)
Source: RNAcentral